This 211-nucleotide unclassified non-coding RNA is filed under the name plant metagenome. Its description in RNAcentral is "partial contains small subunit ribosomal RNA, internal transcribed spacer 1, and 5.8S ribosomal RNA". The record is from RNAcentral.
UUUCCGUAGGUGAACCUGCGGAAGGAUCAUUCAUAAUAAAGUGUUUUAUGGCACUUUUUAAAAAUCAAUAUCCACCUUGUGUGCAAUGUUAGAUCUCGUCAAUCUUGGCGAGAUUUUUAUACAUCAACUCAUCCUUUAACUAAUUUGUCUGAAAAAUAUUAUGAAUACUUAAUUCAAAAUACAACUUUCAACAACGGAUCUCUUGGCUCUC